GAUGAACGCUGGCGGCGUGCCUAAUACAUGCAAGUCGAGCGAACAGACGAGGAGCUUGCUCCUUUGACGUUAGCGGCGGACGGGUGAGUAACACGUGGGUAACCUACCUAUAAGACUGGGAUAACUUCGGGAAACCGGAGCUAAUACCGGAUAAUAUUUCGAACCGCAUGGUUCGAUAGUGAAAGAUGGCUUUGCUAUCACUUAUAGAUGGACCUGCGCCGUAUUAGCUAGUUGGUAAGGUAACGGCUUACCAAGGCAACGAUACGUAGCCGACCUGAGAGGGUGAUCGGCCACACUGGAACUGAGACACGGUCCAGACUCCUACGGGAGGCAGCAGUAGGGAAUCUUCCGCAAUGGGCGAAAGCCUGACGGAGCAACGCCGCGUGAGUGAUGAAGGUCUUCGGAUCGUAAAACUCUGUUAUUAGGGAAGAACAAACGUGUAAGUAACUGUACACGUCUUGACGGUACCUAAUCAGAAAGCCACGGCUAACUACGUGCCAGCAGCCGCGGUAAUACGUAGGUGGCAAGCGUUAUCCGGAAUUAUUGGGCGUAAAGCGCGCGUAGGCGGUUUUUUAAGUCUGAUGUGAAAGCCCACGGCUCAACCGUGGAGGGUCAUUGGAAACUGGAAAACUUGAGUGCAGAAGAGGAAAGUGGAAUUCCAUGUGUAGCGGUGAAAUGCGCAGAGAUAUGGAGGAACACCAGUGGCGAAGGCGACUUUCUGGUCUGUAACUGACGCUGAUGUGCGAAAGCGUGGGGAUCAAACAGGAUUAGAUACCCUGGUAGUCCACGCCGUAAACGAUGAGUGCUAAGUGUUAGGGGGUUUCCGCCCCUUAGUGCUGCAGCUAACGCAUUAAGCACUCCGCCUGGGGAAUACGACCGCAAGGUUGAAACUCAAAGGAAUUGACGGGGACCCGCACAAGCGGUGGAGCAUGUGGUUUAAUUCGAAGCAACGCGAAGAACCUUACCAAAUCUUGACAUCCUUUGACAACUCUAGAGAUAGAGCCUUCCCCUUCGGGGGACAAAGUGACAGGUGGUGCAUGGUUGUCGUCAGCUCGUGUCGUGAGAUGUUGGGUUAAGUCCCGCAACGAGCGCAACCCUUAAGCUUAGUUGCCAUCAUUAAGUUGGGCACUCUAAGUUGACUGCCGGUGACAAACCGGAGGAAGGUGGGGAUGACGUCAAAUCAUCAUGCCCCUUAUGAUUUGGGCUACACACGUGCUACAAUGGACAAUACAAAGGGCAGCGAAACCGCGAGGCCAAGCAAAUCCCAUAAAGUUGUUCUCAGUUCGGAUUGUAGUCUGCAACUCGACUACAUGAAGCUGGAAUCGCUAGUAAUCGUAGAUCAGCAUGCUACGGUGAAUACGUUCCCGGGUCUUGUACACACCGCCCGUCACACCACGAGAGUUUGUAACACCCGAAGCCGGUGGAGUAACCUUUUAGGAGCUAGCCGUCGAAGGUGGGACAAAUGAUUGGGGUGAAGUCGUAACAAGGUAGCCGUAUCGGAAGG
Molecule: ribosomal RNA, 1504 nt
Filed under: uncultured bacterium
Lineage: Bacteria
Description: bacterial SSU rRNA
Rfam family: Bacterial small subunit ribosomal RNA
Source: RNAcentral